CCCGCUCAGAAACUACAAAUGAAUUGACGGGGCCCGCACAAGCGGUGGAGUAUGUGGUUUAAUUCGAUGCAACGCGAAGAACCUUACCUGGUCUUGACAUCCCGGAGACCCUUAGGAAACUAGGGGUGCUUCCAUCUGGAAGAAUCUGGAGACAGGUGCUGCAUGGCUGUCGUCAGCUCGUGUCGUGAGAUGUUGGGUUAAGUCCCGCAACGAGCGCAACCCUUGCCUUUAGUUGCCAGCAGUUCGGCUGGGCACUCUAAAGGGACUGCCGGUGUUAAACCGGAGGAAGGUGGGGAUGACGUCAAGUCCUCAUGGCCUUUAUGACCAGGGCUACACACGUACUACAAUGGCCGAUACAAAGGGCAGCGACACUGCGAGGUGAAGCCAAUCCCGUAAAAUCGGUCUCAGUCCGGAUUGGAGUCUGCAACUCGACUCCAUGAAGUUGGAAUCGCUAGUAAUCGUGGAUCAGCAUGCCACGGUGAAUACGUUCCCGGGCCUU
This 499-nucleotide ribosomal RNA is filed under the name uncultured Desulfobulbus sp. RNAcentral describes it as "bacterial SSU rRNA". It matches the Rfam family "Bacterial small subunit ribosomal RNA", at positions 903 to 1382 of the family's 1533-position model. Lineage: Bacteria; Pseudomonadati; Thermodesulfobacteriota; Desulfobulbia; Desulfobulbales; Desulfobulbaceae. The record is from RNAcentral.